RNAcentral lists this long non-coding RNA (1281 nucleotides) under Gallus gallus (chicken). Lineage: Eukaryota; Metazoa; Chordata; Aves; Galliformes; Phasianidae. The record is from RNAcentral.
GCGGAGCCGUCGGCCCGGCCCGCCCCAGGCUCCGCUCGGCAGCGCAGAGCGGACGCGCAGCCUGAUCGCUUGGGGGGGGGUUCCCGGCGCAAUAAAAGGCUUUUAAGGGAGCAGCACCCGGCUCGUCCCAGGAGAAAGGCGGCAGCAGGGGAAAGUGUUCAAUAAUCCUGAUGAGGGUUGCACAGCUGAGUGCUGUUGCAGCACUACUUCAGAGGAGCACAUCUCUGAAUACUUAUGGAGCCUUGUCCUACAGGCAGAAGUACGUUUUAUGCUCCUGAAAAAGUGAAAAAUUAUUGGAGGCAGUAGGAGUGCAAGGAGCACAGCUUUAAAAGAUGAGAGCAAUGAGGAUGGUAGAGGAAGAACACAGAAAUCUCCAGAGACACAGGUUGAAUGGUAAAGAUGUCCUGGAAGAAAAGAAUCAGGUUUGAAACACAAAACCUGGUUAUAUAAAACCUGUCCCAGAAGUCUUAUUACAGAAAGCUACCCAUCUCCCGUCUGGUCCCAGGUAUUCAUAUAACACUUCCAGAUGCUUGUAAUUCACAGGCACAGGAGCUUCUGCUUUCACCCCCCUCUCCCCCCACCCCCCCACUUUCAGUGCAAUAGAUGUUUUGAAAGGCUCUUCAACAGUGCUAUUUUAGUAUGGUAAGUUAUCAUAUUUCAGUCACCAAAUCCUUUUUUGAAAACCACCCCAUGAAAUUCACGGGAAUUCAUUAGAAUAUGUGGCCUAAAACACAUGAGCAAACUCUUGGCUUGGAUAGUGAAAGCCUAUGAUGUCAGAGGAUGUUCAGUGCAGUCUGAAAGAGUGCUGAUUCUUUGUACUUUUUUAGGCCCUAGGACAAUCAAGAUAUGGGCUAAUUUAAAACAACAUUAAGUCAUCAGCUUAAAAUCAAAUUUUAUUCUUUAAAAAAGAAGGGCUGAGAAGAAUCAUAGGUAAUAACAUAUUAUCUGCCAACUUAUUGGUCAUAACAGAUUAAGAUGUGAUUUCUGCCUAUUAUUUUAUUAAUUGUCCACGCAAAGUUAGCAUAGGCUUUAUGAGACUCCUAAUGCAGAAGAAAUACAGCAUCAUAUAAUAUAGCACUGUGAAUUAUGUCAAAGAAUUUUCUAGCAUACUGACAUUUCUAUUACUUUAAUUCUGCUCUUGGAUUCUUACUGAAAGAAUCACAAUUAAAAGUGAGUCUACAUUUAAUUUUUUUCUCUCAGAAUAUAAACAUUCCAUUAAACAUUCCAUUAAAUAUUUAUCUUUUUUUUGUCUGUCUCUCUCCAGAACAUCUGUUAAUUGAA